Molecule: ribosomal RNA, 253 nt
Filed under: uncultured bacterium
Lineage: Bacteria
Description: partial 16S ribosomal RNA
Rfam family: Bacterial small subunit ribosomal RNA
Source: RNAcentral
UACAGAGGUCUCAAGCGUUGUUCGGAUUCAUUGGGCGUAAAGGGUGCGUAGGCGGCAGGGUAAGUCGGAUGUGAAAUCCCGGGGCUCAACCUCGGAACUGCAUUCGAUACUGCUUUGCUGGAGUACUGAAGAGGAGAGUGGAAUUUACGGUGUAGCAGUGAAAUGCGUAGAUAUCGUAAGGAAGACCAGUGGCGAAGGCGGAUCUCUGGACAGUUACUGACACUGAGGCACGAAGGCCAGGGGAGCAAACGGG